AGACCCGAAACCCGGUGAUCUAGCCAUGGGCAGGUUGAAGGUUGGGUAACACUAACUGGAGGACCGAACCGACUAAUGUUGAAAAAUUAGCGGAUGACCUGUGGCUGGGGGUGAAAGGCCAAUCAAACCGGGAGAUAGCUGGUUCUCCCCGAAAGCUAUUUAGGUAGCGCCUCGUGAAUUCAUCUCCGGGGGUAGAGCACUGUUUCGGCUAGGGGGCCAUCCCGGCUUACCAACCCGAUGCAAACUGCGAAUACCGGAGAAUGUUAUCACGGGAGACACACGGCGGGUGCUAACGUCCGUCGUGAAGAGGGAAACAACCCAGACCGCCAGCUAAGGUCCCAAAGUCAUGGUUAAGUGGGAAACGAUGUGGGAAGGCCCAGACAGCCAGGAUGUUGGCUUAGAAGCAGCCAUCAUUUAAAGAAAGCGUAAUAGCUCACUGGUCGAGUCGGCCUGCGCGGAAGAUGUAACGGGGCUAAACCAUGCACCGAAGCUGCGGCAGCGAACGUAUCACCCAAGACAACUUUACGGAGUUGGCGAUUGACGGAGCGAAGCGACGUCAAAGCGUUCAUUAAAGUCGAGUUGGCUUAGGGAUACGUUCGUUGGGUAGGGGAGCGUUCUGUAAGCCUGUGAAGGUGUGUCGUGAGGCAUGCUGGAGGUAUCAGAAGUGCGAAUGCUGACAUAAGUAACGAUAAAGCGGGUGAAAAGCCCGCUCGCCGGAAGACCAAGGGUUCCUGUCCAACGUUAAUCGGGGCAGGGUGAGUCGACCCCUAAGGCGAGGCCGAAAGGCGUAGUCGAUGGGAAACGGGUUAAUAUUCCCGUACUUGGUGUUACUGCGAAGGGGGGACGGAGAAGGCUAUGUUGGCCGGGCGACGGUUGUCCCGGUUUAAGCGUGUAGGUGUGUGUUCCAGGUAAAUCCGGUUCACUUUAACACUGAG
RNAcentral lists this ribosomal RNA (935 nucleotides) under Salmonella enterica. RNAcentral's name for it is "partial 23S ribosomal RNA". It matches the Rfam family "Bacterial large subunit ribosomal RNA", at positions 711 to 1560 of the family's 2925-position model. Lineage: Bacteria; Pseudomonadati; Pseudomonadota; Gammaproteobacteria; Enterobacterales; Enterobacteriaceae. The record is from RNAcentral.